GCAGGCCAAUUGGCACCGGAACUGGAGCACCACGGCGUCUGGUUUCGUAGGGGAAGGUUUAAGAAGCCUUCCCCAUAGCCGGACUUCCGCUUCCGGUCCUCGGAAUCUGUACGAGGUCGUUAUGGAGGAACCGGAGAUGCAACUCAAGGGAAAGAAAGGAGAUCACUCCAUCUGUUGUUUGGAGAUUGGACUGUUGGCAGAGCGGAAGCAGGGAGACCAGGAAGGAGCUGAAUCUGGCGUCCUGGCGAGAGGUGGCCAUGCCUGGACCAGCGUGGGCAGUGUAGUGGUAAGAAUAGUCACAGACAAGUUCACUGAGAGUGUCUAUGUCCUGGCCAAUGAGCCAUCCGUGGCCCUGUACCGGCUGCAGGAGCACGUGCGCCGCUCUCUGCCUGAGCUGGCCCAGCAUAAGGCUGACAUGCAGCGAUGGGAGGAGCAGAGCCAGGGAGCCAUUUACACAGUGGAGUAUGCCUGCAGUGCUGUGAAGAACCUUGUUGACAGCAGCGUCUACUUCCGCAGCGUGGAGGGUCUUCUGAAACAGGCCAUCAGCAUCCGGGACCACAUGAAUGCUGCCGCCCAGAGCCACAGGUAGCUCCGGGACCACCCGCUCCUGCUCUCAGCCUCCUUGCUCCCUGACGAACCACCCCUGCCCUCCUCAGCUUGAUCCCGGAAGAGACUUGGAGGUGCUUUGGCCCCUCUGGCUCAGGCCGCAGUCCCUGUCUCGAUCCCGUGUUCCCCCUGCCAAGACAGAAAGGGGGAGCCCACGUUUGGUUGUUUUACUCACACGCGUUCUCUCAGGCAGAGCCCAGCAUGAUGGCUACCCACCCAGCUCAGGAAUCUUCGCUGCACUGCUGGCCAGCUGUGUGACCCUGAGAAAGUCCCUCCCCUCUCUGGUCUCUGCUUUUCCCUUCCGUCAGAGUGGUUCAGCAGGCAGCAGAGGGUGCUGCUGCAUAGUGAUGUGUGUUGUAGCAAUCAGCUACUGCUGCAUGACAAACUAUCCCCAAACUUAGUGGUUGACAACCCUAGUCAUUUGGCUGCUUACAGUCCUGCGAUUUGGGCUGGGCUCAGCUGGGCAGUUUUUCUGGACUUAACAACUGUCUGGCACUCACCAGAAUUCAAAGGGGCUCAUAGUCAGAGGUGGCCUCGCUCACACAUCUGGAUCUGGACCCGUGCCGUCAGCAGCAGGGGAUCCGUUCCCUUCCGCGUGGCCUCCCCAGCAGGCCGCCCUAGGCUUCUCCUGGUGACCGGGUGCCCAGAGGGCAGCCCCCGUGUGCCUGUGCCCAUCCGACCUCUUCUUGCUUCACACCGCGGAUGCUCCAUUGGUCGAGGCCAGCCACGUGGCCAGGCCAAGAACUUGAUGGGAGAGGACUGCAGGAAGGCCUCAAUACCGGGAGGUGUGAUCGACUGUGUGAGGAGAGCAUGGUACCAAGAAAGGCCUGGCACGUUGUUACUCGGCGCCCGUGUAGGGCCGACCCCGGCAGAUCGGCGGCAUCUGAGGGACUUCCUGAGCUCUGGCUGUUGUAGUUCUCAAAGACCCGCCCGUUUGCCAGGCACUGCAAUGGCGCUCUGUGCCACAGAGGCCCUCUCAGAGGGCUUGGGAGGCGUGAGUGGGAUGGGGCCUCCACAGCCCCCAGGCCACAGUCUCCAGAGACAAGAGGCAGCAGAAUUCAUGUGUAUACAGUUGAAGUACUUUUUGAGCACCUGCUGUGUGCCAGGCUUAGCUCUCCGGCUGGGGGUAGUGAGGAAUCCCGCUGGCUGUGGGAUUGCCUAGGGAGCAUCUGGGAGGACUUGGGGCAGGAGGGGCUACCAAGAGGGUCAGCAACUCACCCCAAUGGCCCACGCAGUGUUGCCCACCAGCCCUGGGCUACACCCCACCAUCUCUCCACUCCCUUCUCGCCCUCGUCACUCCCACCAUCCAGCCUCAAGGACACCGCCCUGCUGCCUUCCCCACACCCUGUUGUCAUCUGCUGUCCCUCUGCUGCUGCGCCCCCUUGGAAUAAAAUUCUCUGUGGCUUCUCCUGAUCCCGCCUUUAUCCCUA
Molecule: RNA transcript, 2036 nt
Organism: Acinonyx jubatus (cheetah)
Lineage: Eukaryota; Metazoa; Chordata; Mammalia; Carnivora; Felidae
Gene: BORCS8
Gene name: BLOC-1 related complex subunit 8
Exons: 7
Source: RefSeq, a predicted model, not a curated record